Molecule: non-coding RNA, 87 nt
Filed under: Jonesia denitrificans
Lineage: Bacteria; Bacillati; Actinomycetota; Actinomycetes; Micrococcales; Jonesiaceae
Also listed under: 1 other name
Description: ZTP sequence
Rfam family: ZMP/ZTP riboswitch aptamer (pfl RNA motif)
About the family: Previously known as pfl RNA.
Source: RNAcentral
UGUGGUGGUGACAACUGGCGAGGGUGGAAUUAACCACCGGGGAGUGACCGCGAACCUCAUUGCGCGCCGCCCGCCUGGGUGCGAGGU